This 229-nucleotide ribosomal RNA is filed under the name uncultured bacterium. RNAcentral's name for it is "partial 16S ribosomal RNA". It matches the Rfam family "Bacterial small subunit ribosomal RNA", at positions 568 to 796 of the family's 1533-position model. The record is from RNAcentral.
UGCGUAGGCGGUUCGUCGUGUCCGCUGUGAAAUCCCCCGGCUUACCCGGGGAACGGCGGCGGAAACUGUCGGGCUUGAGGACAGGAGGGGAGAGUGGAACUCUAGGUGGAGCGGUGAAAUGCGUUGAUAUCUAGAGGAACGCCGGAGGCGAAAGCGACUCUCUGGUCUGUCUCUGACGCUGAUGCACGAAAGCUAGGGUAGCGAACAGGAUUAGAUACCCUGGUAGUCC